This 1119-nucleotide ribosomal RNA is filed under the name Methanosarcina mazei. RNAcentral's name for it is "bacterial SSU rRNA". It matches the Rfam family "Archaeal small subunit ribosomal RNA", at positions 156 to 1276 of the family's 1478-position model. Lineage: Archaea; Methanobacteriati; Methanobacteriota; Methanomicrobia; Methanosarcinales; Methanosarcinaceae. The record is from RNAcentral.
ACGCAUAUUUGCUGGAAUGCUUUAUGCGUCAAAAGGAUUCGUCUGCCCAAGGAUGGGUCUGCGGCCUAUCAGGUAGUAGUGGGUGUAAUGUACCUACUAGCCAGCGACGGGUACGGGUUGUGAGAGCAAGAGCCCGGAGAUGGAUUCUGAGACAUGAAUCCAGGCCCUACGGGGCGCAGCAGGCGCGAAAACUUUACAAUGCGGGAAACCGUGAUAAGGGGACACCGAGUGCCAGCAUCAUAUGCUGGCUGUCCGGAUGUGUAAAAUACAUCCGUUAGCAAGGGCCGGGCAAGACCGGUGCCAGCCGCCGCGGUAACACCGGCGGCCCGAGUGGUGAUCGUGAUUAUUGGGUCUAAAGGGUCCGUAGCCGGUUUGGUCAGUCCUCCGGGAAAUCUGAUAGCUCAACUAUUAGGCUUUCGGGGGAUACUGCCAGACUUGGAACCGGGAGAGGUAAGAGGUACUACAGGGGUAGGAGUGAAAUCUUGUAAUCCCUGUGGGACCACCUGUGGCGAAGGCGUCUUACCAGAACGGGUUCGACGGUGAGGGACGAAAGCUGGGGGCACGAACCGGAUUAGAUACCCGGGUAGUCCCAGCCGUAAACGAUGCUCGCUAGGUGUCAGGCAUGGCGCGACCGUGUCUGGUGCCGCAGGGAAGCCGUGAAGCGAGCCACCUGGGAAGUACGGCCGCAAGGCUGAAACUUAAAGGAAUUGGCGGGGGAGCACAACAACGGGUGGAGCCUGCGGUUUAAUUGGACUCAACGCCGGACAACUCACCGGGGGCGACAGCAAUAUGUAGGCCAAGCUGAAGACUUUGCCUGAAUCGCUGAGAGGAGGUGCAUGGCCGUCGCCAGUUCGUACUGUGAAGCAUCCUGUUAAGUCAGGCAACGAGCGAGACCCGUGCCCACUGUUACCAGCAUGUCCUCCGGGACGAUGGGUACUCUGUGGGGACCGCCGAUGUUAAAUCGGAGGAAGGUGCGGGCCACGGUAGGUCAGUAUGCCCCGAAUCUCCCGGGCUACACGCGGGCUACAAUGGAUGGGACAAUGGGUCCCUCCCCUGAAAAGGGCUGGUAAUCUCACAAACCCAUUCGUAGUUCGGAUCGAGGGCUGUAACUCGCCCUCG